UAUAGUAUAUCAGUAUAUAUGACUUCCAAUCAUAAGGAUUACAAAUUAAUAGUAAUAUA
Molecule: transfer RNA, 59 nt
Filed under: Clephydroneura sp.
Lineage: Eukaryota; Metazoa; Arthropoda; Insecta; Diptera; Asilidae
Description: tRNA-Gly
Source: RNAcentral